GAUGAACGCUGGCGGCGUGCCUAAUACAUGCAAGUCGAGCGAACAGACGAGGAGCUUGCUCCUCUGACGUUAGCGGCGGACGGGUGAGUAACACGUGGAUAACCUACCUAUAAGACUGGGAUAACUUCGGGAAACCGGAGCUAAUACCGGAUAACAUGUUGAACCGCAUGGUUCAACAGUGAAAGACGGUCUUGCUGUCACUUAUAGAUGGAUCCGCGCCGCAUUAGCUAGUUGGUAAGGUAACGGCUUACCAAGGCAACGAUGCGUAGCCGACCUGAGAGGGUGAUCGGCCACACUGGAACUGAGACACGGUCCAGACUCCUACGGGAGGCAGCAGUAGGGAAUCUUCCGCAAUGGGCGAAAGCCUGACGGAGCAACGCCGCGUGAGUGAAGAAGGUCUUCGGAUCGUAAGACUCUGUUAUUAGGGAAGAACAAAUGUGUAAGUAACUAUGCACGUCUUGACGGUACCUAAUCAGAAAGCCACGGCUAACUACGUG
Molecule: ribosomal RNA, 497 nt
Filed under: uncultured bacterium
Lineage: Bacteria
Description: partial 16S ribosomal RNA
Rfam family: Bacterial small subunit ribosomal RNA
Source: RNAcentral